GACGAACGCUGGCGGCGUGCCUAAUACAUGCAAGUAGAACGCUGAAGCGAGGAGCUUACUCUUCUUGGAUGAGUUGCGAACGGGUGAGUAACGCGUAGGUAACCUGCCUUGUAGCGGGGGAUAACUAUUGGAAACGAUAGCUAAUACCGCAUAACAAUGGAUGACACAUGUCAUUUAGUUGAAAGGGGCAAUUGCUCCACUACAAGAUGGACCUGCGUUGUAUUAGCUAGUAGGUGAGGUAAUGGCUCACCUAGGCGACGAUACAUAGCCGACCUGAGAGGGUGAUCGGCCACACUGGGACUGAGACACGGCCCAGACUCCUACGGGAGGCAGCAGUAGGGCAUCUUCGGCAAUGGGGGCAACCCUGACCGAGCAACGCCGCGGGAGUGAAGAAGGUUUUCGGGUCGUAAAGCUCUGUUGUAAGUCAAGAACGGGUGUGAGAGUGGAAAGUUCACACUGUGACGGUAGCUUACCAGAAAGGGACGGCUAACUACGUG
This 497-nucleotide ribosomal RNA is filed under the name uncultured bacterium. RNAcentral's name for it is "partial 16S ribosomal RNA". It matches the Rfam family "Bacterial small subunit ribosomal RNA", at positions 28 to 507 of the family's 1533-position model. The record is from RNAcentral.